ACUGCGGAGGAUCAUUACCGAGUGAGGGCCCUCUGGGUCCAACCUCCCACCCGUGUUUAUUUUACCUUGUUGCUUCGGCGGGCCCGCCUUAACUGGCCGCCGGGGGGCUUACGCCCCCGGGCCCGCGCCCGCCGAAGACACCCUCGAACUCUGUCUGAAGAUUGUAGUCUGAGUGAAAAUAUAAAUUAUUUAAAACUUUCAACAACGGAUCUCUUGGUUCCGGCAUCGAUGAAGAACGCAGCGAAAUGCGAUACGUAAUGUGAAUUGCAAAUUCAGUGAAUCAUCGAGUCUUUGAACGCACAUUGCGCCCCCUGGUAUUCCGGGGGGCAUGCCUGUCCGAGCGUCAUUUCUGCCCUCAAGCACGGCUUGUGUGUUGGGCCCCGUCCUCCGAUCCCGGGGGACGGGCCCGAAAGGCAGCGGCGGCACCGCGUCCGGUCCUCGAGCGUAUGGGGCUUUGUCACCCGCUCUGUAGGCCCGGCCGGCGCUUGCCGAUCAACCCAAAUUUUUAUCCAGGUUGACCUCGGAUCAGGUAGGGAUACCCGCUGAACUUAAGCAUAUCA
This 560-nucleotide ribosomal RNA is filed under the name Penicillium chrysogenum. Its description in RNAcentral is "eukaryotic LSU rRNA". The stretch from base 194 to 346 matches the Rfam family "5.8S ribosomal RNA". Lineage: Eukaryota; Fungi; Ascomycota; Eurotiomycetes; Eurotiales; Aspergillaceae. The record is from RNAcentral.